GACGAACGCUGGCGGCGUGCUUAACACAUGCAAGUCGAACGGAAAGGCCCUGCUUUUGUGGGGUGCUCGAGUGGCGAACGGGUGAGUAACACGUGAGUAACCUGCCCUUGACUUUGGGAUAACUUCAGGAAACUGGGGCGAAUACCGGAUAGGAGCUCCUGCUGCAUGGUGGGGGUUGGAAAGUUUCGGCGGUUGGGGAUGGACUCGCGGCUUAUCAGCUUGUUGGUGGGGUAGUGGCUUACCAAGGCUUUGACGGGUAGCCGGCCUGAGAGGUGGACCGGCGACAUGGGGCCUGAGAGACGGCCCAGACUCCUACGGGAGGCAGCAGUGGGGAAUAUUGCACAAUGGGCGGAAGCCUGAUGCAGAAACGCCGCGUGCGGGAUGACGGCCUUCGGGUUGUAAACCGCUUUCGCCUGUGACGAAGCGUGAGUGACGGUAAUGGGUAAAGAAGCACCGGCUAACUACGUG
Molecule: ribosomal RNA, 468 nt
Filed under: uncultured bacterium
Lineage: Bacteria
Description: partial 16S ribosomal RNA
Rfam family: Bacterial small subunit ribosomal RNA
Source: RNAcentral